This 474-nucleotide ribosomal RNA is filed under the name uncultured bacterium Seq7(S3). Its description in RNAcentral is "bacterial SSU rRNA". It matches the Rfam family "Bacterial small subunit ribosomal RNA", at positions 384 to 876 of the family's 1533-position model. Lineage: Bacteria; Bacillati; Chloroflexota. The record is from RNAcentral.
UGACGCAGCAACGCGCGUGGGGGAAGAAGGUCUUCGGGUUGUAACCCCUUUUCUCGGGGAAGAUAGUGACGGUACCCGAGGAAUAAGUCUCGGCUAACUACGUGCCAGCAGCCGCGGUAAGACGUAGGAGGCGAGCGUUAUCCGGAUUUACUGGGCGUAAAGGGCGUGUAGGCGGCUCUUCAAGUCUGUGGUGAAAUCUCCCGGCUCAACUGGGAGGGUGCCAGAGAAACUNGAGGGCUUGAGGGCAGCAGAGGGGGGUGGAAUUCCCGGUGUAGUGGUGAUAUGCGUAGAUAUCGGGAGGAACACCAGUGGCGAAGGCGGCCCCCUGGGCUGUUCCUGACGCUGAGGCGCGAAAGCGUGGGGAGCAAACAGGAUUAGAUACCCUGGUAGUCCACGCCGCAAACGAUGGACACUAGGUAUGGGGGUAUCGACCCCCUCCGUGCCGAAGCUUAACGCUUUAAGUGUCCCGCCUGG